ACUGGCGGGUGCUUAUAAUGCAGGUCGAGCGGGUGCAGCAAUGCAUCAGCGGCGGACGGGUGAGUAACGCGUGGGCAAUCUGCCCUCUAGCCUGGGAUAACAGUUCGAAAGGACUGCUAACACCGGAUAUUAUGAUUCUGAGGCAUCUUGGGAUUAUGAAAGUUUACACUAGAGGAUGAGCCCGCGUCCCAUUAGCUAGUUGGUGAGGUAACGGCCCACCAAGGCGACGAUGGGUAGCCGACCUGAGAGGGUGAACGGCCACACUGGGACUGAGACACGGCCCAGACUCCUACGGGAGGCAGCAGUAGGGAAUCUUCCGCAAUGGACGAAAGUCUGACGGAGCAACGCCGCGUGAGUGAUGAAGGUUUUCGGAUCGUAAAGCUCUGUUGCCAGGGAAGAACGCUUAGGAGAGUAACUGCUCUUAAGGUGACGGUACCUGAGAAGAAAGCCCCGGCUAACUACGUACCAGCAGCCGCGGUAAUACGUAGGGGGCAAGCGUUGUCCGGAAUUAUUGGGCGUAAAGCGCGCGCAGGCGGUCAUUUAAGUUUGGUGUUUAAUUCCAGGGCUCAACCCUGGGUCGCACUGAAAACUGGGUGACUUGAGUACAGAAGAGGAGAGUGGAAUUCCACGUGUAGCGGUGAAAUGCGUAGAUAUGUGGAGGAACACCAGUGGCGAAGGCGACUCUCUGGGCUGUAACUGACGCUGAGGCGCGAAAGCGUGGGUAGCAAACAGGAUUAGAUACCCUGGUAGUCCACGCC
RNAcentral lists this ribosomal RNA (758 nucleotides) under uncultured bacterium. RNAcentral describes it as "bacterial SSU rRNA". It matches the Rfam family "Bacterial small subunit ribosomal RNA", at positions 35 to 801 of the family's 1533-position model. The record is from RNAcentral.